CAGCCGCUACAGCUGUUGACCUACGGUUAACGACUGGCAAGUGUUGGCUUUUGUUUAGGAAAUUUUCAUAGAGGCAUCUCUGGGUACCUUUCUCUGUCGAGUUACCAAAAAAACCUCUAUGGAGAAUGGCCCUGAAAUCCAAAAUGGACCCUAAGCACACUGGUCCCCAGGUGGCCUGGCAGUGUUUGGACUAAGGCUUUAAUGUAUGGAGUUUUGUCCUGUCUCUUAGGCUCUGGGACUUGGUUUUGCCCUCGUUUAUCUUGGAGCGAGAGUCACACUCAUGAUGUCUUGGUUAAGGUCAAGGGUGGAGGUGUCUUUAGACUUUGGGUCAAAGACUCCAGAGUGUACCUGGGAUGGGGUACUAGACCUAGAGACUAAAGGCUUUAGUUUUCAUCCUGGAUCUGUUGCUCCAGAGCUGUGUGACUCUGGGUAAAAUGCCCCACUUCUCUGAGCUUCAGACUGGUUUCUGUAUGAAAGAAAGAAAAUUUACCAGAUAUAGCCAAUGAUUAUGUCCAGUUAUAAAGCAUGGCUAGAACCUUAAUAUUGAAAACUUCUAUUUUAAAGAUUUCAACUGGUCAAUACAAUAUUUCCUAUGAUUCUUGAAGGAUUCAAAUGGGUCAAAAGAUGAUAAAUGCUAUUAUUAAUUAAUUAACUAAUUAACUAAUUAAUUAAUUUUGGUGACCAUGUCUAUGAACUGCAACCAGCAAACUACAGACUUGAUUUGUCCUAAGGCAUAUUCAUAUCCAACCUGAGCUCUUCCAUAACUCGACAGUUAUCCAAACUGAAUGAUGUCCCCUCCAUUUUGAUGGUCUCCUUCUGGCCUUCUUGACAGGUGGCCAUGAAGACCUGGGUGGCAGCUCUCCUCUCUCAGCCAGUGAGUUGUCUGGUCACAGUGCAGGGUCACUGUGGACGGCUUCUCUAGGUUGGAAGUUGCCAGGCGGUGCUGAUUGUCUGUAGGGAAGCCAUGGGAAAGACCUGAUUUUUUUUUGUGUGUGUAUAUGUGUGUGUGUGUGUAUGUGUGUGUGUGUGUGUGUGUGUGUGUGUGUGUGUAAGAUGCUGGAUUUGAGCACUAGAGGAGUGGGCCCUGGGGCUGAACCAACAGCUCAGUCAGUAGAAUAUUUGCUGUAUAAACAUGAGGGACCAAGUUCAGAGCCACAGUACCCAUGUAAAAAGCAGUGACACAGGUUUGUAAUCCCAUCAUCUGCAAAAUGGAGACAGUGGAUCUGCAGUGGGUUUGCCAGCCUACUUGAAUAGGUGAACUCCAGGUUCACUGAGAGACUCUGCCUCAAAAAAUACAGUGGAGAGGAGAAGAAGAAGAUGCCCAGUGUUGACCUCACCUCCACAUGUGUGUACAUGUACACACACACACACACACACACACACACACACAUACACACAUGAGUAGGUCUACAUUCCUAUUGUGAACAGGAGGAAUGGCUUAGAUGCAGCCAAGGAUGUGUGUCACACAUCUUGGACUUCAGUUGCUAGGUUAACAGCAGGAAUCAGUGCCCAGCAGCGGGAUCAGUCUGGCCUUGGUAAAAGAUGCACAGCCAUUCCGGUUGUCAAGGAUGGUGAUUGGCCUCUGUCUUAAUAGCUGAUCAAAUAUUCCUUGCUGCUGAACCUUGGCCCUACUCUCUUGGCCUCUAGGCCUUUGCCCAAAUGUGUCCCAUUUCCCUGAAAAGCUUAUUUGAACUUGUUCAACUGGCGAGAGUUCAAACAAAGCUUCUAUGCCAGCCAGGUGUUUCUCUGAAAUGGCAAUAUUCUUGUUAUGUAAGUGGUAUUGCUAACUGGCAUGCGCCAGUGUGCCUUCACAGCUGUUUACAUAUUAGAGUGGUAUGUUUUCACUGCCUAAUACUGUUCCAGUCCCUACGAUCCCUGACUUGUGCUGCCUAAAAGAGACUCUCUGUUCCAGCAACUCAUUGAUUAAGACUUACACAGUAGGGGAGGGACUGCUGGGACUCAAAGGUAUGGCUAGGCCCUGCUUACUGAUUGAUUCCUGGAUUUAUAAGAUUUUAGUUACUUUAAUAACACCUCAAUUAUAAUUAUUUGCUAUCCUAUUAGAAUGCUGCUUCUAGCACCAAAAACAUACAGUGCUUAUGAGUAUAGUGGCUGAUGCAAUGGGUUUUGUGUGUGUGUAUGGGGGGCAUAUGUAAGCAUGAAGGGGUCACAUGCUAUUCCAUGCAGCAUCCAAGCGGGCAGGGGUCCUGAGGAGCACAACCCUGAUCUUUGCAGUGGGCUGAUCUUGGGUAGUUGUUAACCUCUAAACAUGAUAGCUUUUGAGGUGAACAAUCUGCAUGCCCACCUUGUCCACAGGAGGUAGAGCCUACCUACUGCCCCCUUUCAAUGCCUUCCAUAGUCUUGAGCAGUGACAUAUUGGCAAUGAUGAUUGUGGUCCAGGAUUAGAAGCUCUGCCUUUGUCCCUUUGUGUGGAAAGAGUGAAGAAAGGGCACUAAUAACAACAGCUAAUUUUUUUCUCUUCACUGUAGAGAGGAGGGGCCUAAAGCCAGCUUUGAGAUUUGAUUUGGAAAAGUUUUCUAACAAUGUAUAUAUCAUGUGCGUAUAGUCUACACCUGGAACAGUGCCAUGUGGCUCUGUGUUUUUAGGUUUUCUUUUUUAUUAAUAAAUAUUAAAGCAAGUUAUUGUAAAUUCUUUAAGUGAAUAUAGCCCCUACAGGUGUUACAUGAAUGUCAGAUCCUAAAUCUAGUAUUUGAUUAUGAAAUUUGAUUUCAAAGCAGUCAUUUCUUGUUCCUUUCUGAACAGUCAUCUAUUUAGGGAAAAGUGUUUGCAGUCAGAGAAUCAUAGGUGCAAAAUAAUUCUUUUCUGGAGCUCUGUGUGAGUCAAGUAGAUCAUCUUGAUGAUUCUUGCCUUCCAUAUUGCUUAGUUUGACUCCCAAAUAUGUGGGCAUGGAUAUAAUCAUUUGGGGAAGUGUAUGUGGCUUAGAGAAUCAUGUUUUUAGAAUAAUUUUGUAAUUGAUAAUAUCUGGAGAUUAAAGUAAUAUUUUAGAACAAUUAGAAAGUUGUUGAAAUAACACCCUAUAGAAGAUCCUUACUAAGACCUUCUCAACAAUGUGAAGAAGCUAUCAUGUAACAGUGCCUUCACUUCUUAGACAGGGAAACUCAGGUAUAUUAGUUGAUUGUGGAUAAUGACUGGAGACAGUUGGAAGCCAGGACAUGCUCAACUUUCUUAGUUUUCUUUUGGCAUGCAGUUACUGUAAUGAUUAGGUUAUCUGGAAACUAGGGAUAAUGUUAGGCUGGCAAAAUGGAGUGAUAAAUUGGCACCAGUAUCAAGUCCACGCAAGCCAUUGGAACUUUUCAUAGGCCUGGAUCAGGAAGGUAUGUAGCAGUGUGUGGAUACUGGUUCUGAAUUAUUGGAUAUAUGGGGUGAGCUGUGUUUGUAACAUAUGGCCUGGCUCAUAAUGCAUGAAUGGGAGAAAACCACACUCUUUUAGAAAUAGAUUUGAUUGCUUCCAGGGACUACUCAUAUUUCUUGCUCAUGUAUUCCUUCAUUUUUCCUAAAGUUUGAGCCAUUUCUUCGGAAUCUGUACAAAGCAGACUCCAGGGAAAGAAGAAACAGAUAAUGCACAAUAACUGAUCCAUGUAGAAAACACAGAGAUUUAUAGCAUUCUUAAGUGCAUGACUGAGGCCAGGAAACACCUAGGCAUGCACAAAGAAGUCACUACCUCCUCUCCCUCCUCUCCCUAUAUGAGAUCUAGAUGGCCCGAGUUCUGCUUCAGGAGUCAUUGCGCAGAAAUAACUACCCUUUCUCCCUCAUAGUAACUUCUGAAGUCACUAACCCUGAAGGCUCCAAAAGAAAACCUAGGACUCAGUGAAUGGAGCUGAUGCAUCCAGAUGACAUCACAGCUUCUCUUGAUGGGUCAUUCAAUGUUUGUGAACCCAGACACACAAGCAGAUCCUAAAUCUAGUGUUUGAUCGUGAAAAUUGAUCUAACACCAGCAAUUUCUUGUCCCUUUCUGAACAGUUGUGUGUUUAGGGAAAAGCUGUUUUUAUAAUCAUUGAAGUAAAAUAAUUCUCUUUGGAACCAUGUGCCAGUCAGUCAAAUAGACCAUCUUCUUGGUGAUUUCUGUCUUUGGCAUGGCUUAAUUUUACUCAAAGUAUCAGCGUGGAUAUAUAAUAAUUUUUGGAAGUAUGUGUGGUGAACAACAGUUGAUCAAGAAUUCUGGAAUCUCUGUGGCCUGAUGAAUAAGAGCACAGAUAUUUAAAUCACAAAGCCCUGGAUUGAAAAUUCUGCAACAGUGCAUAGCAGUAGCCCUGUGAUCGAGGCACAUGCCUUAGUAGCUUGUCUGAAAGAUAGGUAUACAGUGGGUGCUUCAUGAAGUCAUGGAAGAAGUAAAUGUGUGGAUGUGAGUAAAGUACUCAGCAUUGUGAAUGAGUACCAGAGGGCAGAGCUAUCAUUGUUGCUCUAGAGUUUAAGCAUACUGCGGGAACUAGGAGGCUAGAGUUUAUUUGAGACCCUAAGUUAUCACGGUGGCUAGAAGAAAAAGAAGUAAGGGUGAGAGUCCUGAGGAAAGAAGCAGGAGAGAAGAAAACAGUUCCAAACCAUUCUCUCACCCCGCCUGAUUUGCUGUUUCAGCAAAUACAUCUGCUUACAAUAGUGAGUUGAAUGUGCUUUAUGCCACAGAAUGCUUUAAGCUUUUAGAAUCCCCGAUGGAAGGGAGAUCGUGUGGUCUUUCUUGGCUUGAGCAUGAGUUAGAAUUUGUCGGAUGGGCAUUUUGCCUUCAUCAAAACUUGAGUCUGGUUCGAUACACAAUGACAUUUUCCAAAGACCAUCUGCUUGAUCUCUUUAGAUUUGUGGAACUCCUUCAGCAUUUAUACAGCUCUGUGAGAAAGGGAGAGCACUGCUCCUUCCACUCGGUGCAUGGAUAACCUGAGGUACAGAGAGCAGAGCGCACUGAAAAGUCUUCUCCAAGUUGUCCAGCAAAUAGUAGAUGUGGGUCUCCUACGAUUUCUCCUUCAGUUCCGACUCUGGAUCCAUGCCCUACUCAUACAAGUGGCCUUUCAAGUUAUUUUAAUAUUGGGUGAAAAUGGCACCUCUUCUAAUUUAUAUCAUUCACAUGGAAGUUUCUUCUGGUGGUCAUCAGAGCUCAAAUUCUUUCAAGGCCCCUUACUUACCAGGGUCCAAGCUGUCUGUGGAGUGGUCCCUGAUCUAGGAUAAAGCACUGAUGUCCUUACUGUGGGAUGACCCAUCCAUUGUCCAUGCCAGGCCAGCUCUAAGUUUGAAAUAUUAUCGUAUUGGUGAGAGAUUUUCACCUGAUUGCCAGGUGGCUUAGCAGCUGUCAGUCCCCCAACUCCCUGGGGGUCCCCUUACUCUGGUUGUUGUACUAUGAAUACUCCUGCAAUCUGGUGUGGACUAUAGGGGACUCUAAGCUGACAACUGAUCUGUAUUGCUCUGAUUUGACUGUCACCCACAUAGCUCCCUAGUAGAGAAAUCUCAAUAUGGUAUCAGCCUUGGGAGCCUGUAUUUAUUAGAUUGUGAUAAAUUCUAUUUCCCUGCCUUUGGGUGCCUGUUCCUAAAAGAAAGGAAUAUCUCGAAAUAGACUCAUCCUGUCCUUGUAGUUGUUUUAAAGUUUGAUCAGGCUUCUGUUUUUGUCCGGGUCCGAUUUCCAGUCAACCUCUUCCAGGCAAGGCGUUUGUAUGUUGUGUGGUCUUGACCUGAACACUUUCUAAGAGAGAAGCUCUGAUUUGGUUAUGUAUUUUUUGUUGUUGUUGCUGUUGCCCAGGUUUGAGAUAGGGUCUCUCUGUGUAGUGUAGGCUGGUCUGGAACUUGCUAGACUCCUGUAUCUGCCUCCAGAGGCCUGGAAUUGAAGACUUGUGCCCCCUACACCCUGCAGAAGCUCACAUCUGGAUAGCAGGCAUCUGAAGAGACAUGAAUGAGGAGAGGGACUGCAGCUGUCCUCAGCCCCUCAGGGAAUUCCACACAGGUCCAGCAUCAAUUCCUCCGCUGGCUAAGAAACUUGCCACUUCUUCCAUUAGCUUUAGAAGGAGACAGUUUUACUUGAGUGUUCCCCUUUGGAAAAAAUGAUCAGCUAUUCACUAUUAGUCUGUAUGUUAACCAUUUCAACAUACAGAUGGGUAUCAUUGUCCACAGCUCUGACAGCAGUGUUCACAAUUGUUCACCAAGGUUGCAUUCUGCACUGCUGGAAGCUGAUGUAAUGCCCAGUGUAUCAUGUGACUUCCUGAGCCCUAUCUAUGGAAUGGAACUGUAUCAGGAAACCCUGUCCUCUUCUUACCCUCUAUCCUCACUCCCAGAGAUCUCCUGACCUGAUCACAUUCAGCCUCUAAAACUAGACUCUAAUUGCCCUUCUUCCAUUCAGCUUUCCCCAAAAACCUAUGGUAUUUUUAAUAUAGAUUUUAUUUCUACAUUUAUUAUUUAGUUAUUUAUGGUUUUGUUAAUAGUCAAAUUUCUUUUCUUUUUUAAAAAAAAUAUUCUUCUCUUAUAUAUUACAUCUUGCCCACUGUUUCUCCUCCCUCUCCUCCUCCCAGUCUCUCUCCCUCAGAUCCACACCCUCUCUGUCUCCCCUCAGAAAAAAGCAGGCCUCCCAGGGACAUCAGCCAACAAACACAGCAUAAUAUGAACAACCCAAACUUCUAAUCAGAUUUUUUAUGUGAUACAUUGUCUUAGUUAGCUUUGGUUAUAAACCUGAUACAGUAUACUGCCAUCUGAGACAGAAGUCUCAACUGAGAGUAGACCAGAUCGGACGGUGGCCAUGUCUGUGAGGGACUAUAUUGGUGUUUAAUUGAUGUAAGCAGCAGGUUGAGUACACUGUGGGUUGCACUAUUCUGUAGGCAUGUGGUCUUGUGCUGUAUAAGAAAGCUAGUGAAACAUGAAUCUCUGAGAAUGUAACCAGCAAGCAGACUUCCUCCAUGGCCUCUGCUUCAGUUCCUGCCUUGAGUUCCUUCCUGCCCUGACUUCCUUCAGGGAUUGACUGUGACAUGGAAGCAUGAGCCAAAUAAACUCUUUCCUCCCCAAGCUGCUUUGGGUUAGAGUGUUUCAUCAUAUCAAAGAAGGAAACUAAACAGAGGUGUUGAGUAAAUGUUUUUGAAUGUUGAAUACGUGUUUUUACCUUUCAUUUCUUUAAAACCUUUUAGCAGACAUGCAGUUGGGUUGAGGUAGAGACUGGUAAAGACACAUUUGGGUAGUGCAGUGAGGAUUUUGGGAAGCGUAUCACCAUGCCCCUCUGGGGCUGUGUUGCCAGCCCUGAGCAUAAGUAGCUUUAUGUGGUAUCUUGGUGCCUGAAAAGAAGAAAGGAAUUGAGAGGCCUUCUCUACUUCACUCUUUAAAAUCACUUGUCCAGAUUUUCUGGAGAAAAAAAAUCCUAGUCCACAUAGGUAAUAGAAUGUAAUUAGCCAAGCAGAAAGCCACAGUUCUGAGAAGCAGUUGAGAGAGGCAGAGAGAGGGCGGGGGAAGAGGCAGACAGACAGACAGACAGACAGAGACAGAGACAGACAGAGAAAGAGAGCCCUUUACUUUAUUUCCUAUUGGAAAGUUUGUCAAAAUAUCCACUUGAAUGGUUCAUGAACUACUUUAGAGGUGCAUUGUGGAUAUUUGAAAUCUGGUGUUAUCUCAGAUCACCCUUUAAAAAAUAAACUAAAUUUCUUUCUUUCUUUCUUUCUUUCUUUCUUUCUUUCUUUCUUUCUUUCUUUCUUUCUUUCUUUCUUUCUUUCUUCCUUUCUUUCUUCCUUUCUUUCUUUUCUUCUUCCUUCCCUCCCUCCCUUUUCUUCUGUCUCUCUGUCUCUGUCUCUCUCUCUCUGAGAGAGCCUGAACGCAGUCCCCAACUACCACAAAUUAUGCAGUUGAGUUUCCCUCAUUUGGAGAAAUUGCAGGGGACAGCACAUUCAGAGUGCAAUGGAUAAGCCUGGCCCUGGGGAAAAACCACCUUCCUGAUCAUGGUAUCUCCCCUGGCAGGUUGCUUUGUUGUUGAGAUAUGGUACCAUAGCACAGCCUGAGGCAGACGGCUUAGGAAGUCAUCAGUUCUGUGGAUGAUGGCGUGCAAGUGAGGAGACCAGAAGUCUGAAAAUGUCCGCAGGUGUGGCUCCUUCUAUGGACCUGAAGUCAGAAACCACCCCAUAGCUCUCCUCCAGAUUCUGGGAGUCAUUGAUAACUCUCCACAUUUGUUUUUGUUUUUGUUGUUUUGCUUUUCAAGACAGGGUUUCUCUGUGUAACAGCCCAAGAUGUCCUAGAACUCACUCUGUGGACCAGGCUGGCCUGGAACUC
Molecule: non-coding RNA, 8232 nt
Organism: Peromyscus maniculatus bairdii (prairie deer mouse)
Lineage: Eukaryota; Metazoa; Chordata; Mammalia; Rodentia; Cricetidae
Source: RefSeq, a predicted model, not a curated record